UGGAGGAAGAGAAAGAAAUUCGAUUCCGUAAGUAGCGGCGAGCGAACGCGGAACAGGCCAAACCAAUGAAGUUUACUUCGUUGGGGUUGCGGACAUACAACAUGGAUGCAAUAUCGUAAAUGAAGAGAGUUGGAAAGCUCCGCCAUAGAAGGUAAUAGCCCUGUAGUUGAAACGAGAAAGCUACUAGUAUGAUCCAGAGUACCACGGGACACGUGAAACCCUGUGGGAAGCAGGAGGGACCAUCCUCCAAGCCUAAAUACUACCUAGUGACCGAUAGCGCAUAGUACCGUGAGGGAAAGGUGAAAAGAACCCCGGGAGGGGAGUGAAAUAGAACCUGAAACCCUGCACUUACAAGCUGUGGGAGCACAUUACUUGUGUGACCGCGUACUUUUUGUAGAACGGGCCAACGAGUUACGUUAAGUAGCAAGGUUAAGCACUUAAGGUGUGGAGCCGUAGCGAAAGCGAGUCUUAAAUGGGCGAUUAAGUUACUUGGCGUAGACCCGAAACCGGGCGACCUAUCCAUGAGCAGGUUGAAGCGAAAGUAAAAUUUCGUGGAGGACCGAACCCACGAGCGUUGAAAAGCUCGGGGAUGACUUGUGGAUAGCGGUGAAAUUCCAAUCGAGCCCGGAGAUAGCUGGUUCUCCCCGAAAUAGCUUUAGGGCUAGCCUCAAGCGUAGAGAAACGGAGGUAGAGCACUGAAUGUCCUAGGGGGUAUUGCACUUACCGAAGACUAUCAAACUCCGAAUGCCGUUUUCUUUUACUUGGGAGUCAGACUGUGGGUGAUAAGAUUCAUAGUCAAAAGGGCAACAGCCCAGAUCGUCAGCUAAGGUCCCUAAAUGUACGUUAAGUGGUAAAGGAUGUGGGAUUGCACAGACAACCAGGAUGUUGGCUUAGAAGCAGCCACUCAUUUAAAGAGUGCGUAAUAGCUCACUGGUCGAGUGAUCCUGCGCCGAAAAUUUCCGGGGCUAAAACGUACUACCGAAGCUACGGCAUCAUUUAUGAUGGGUAGGGGAGCUUCGUAUGCAGGCUGAAGCAUGACCGUAAGGACAUGUGGACAGUAUACGAGUGAGAAUGUUGGCAUGAGUAGCGAGACGUGGGUGAGAAUCCCACGGGCCGUAAACCCAAGGUUUCCAGGGGAAGGUUCGUCCGCCCUGGGUUAGUCGGGACCUAAGCCGAGGCCGAAAGGCGUAGGUGAUGGACAACAGGUUGAUAUUCCUGUACCGCCAAUAAGCGUUUGAGAGAUGGAGUGACACAGUAGGAUAAGCUAACCGUACUGUUGGUUAUGUACGGCUAAGCAUUGAGGCAGUCUAAAUAGGCAAAUCCGUUUAGACAAUGCUAGGAUGUGAUGGGGAAGCCCUUCGGGGCGAAGUAGCUGAUUUCACACUGUCAAGAAAAGCUUCUAUCGAGUUUAAAGGCGCCCGUACCGUAAACCGACACAGGUGGGUGAGGAGAGUAUCCUAAGGCCAGCGAGAGAACUAUUGUUAAGGAACUCGGCAAAAUGACCCCGUAACUUAGGGAGAAGGGGUGCCUGUCUAUGACAGGCCGCAGAGAAUAGGCCCAAGCGACUGUUUACCAAAAACACAGGUUUCUGCUAAGUCGCAAGACGAUGUAUAGGAGCUGACGCCUGCCCGGUGCUGGAAGGUUAAGGGGAUCUGUUAGAGCAAUCGAAGCAGUGAACUUAAGCCCCAGUAAACGGCGGCCGUAACUAUAACGGUCCUAAGGUAGCGAAAUUCCUUGUCGGGUAAGUUCCGACCC
This 1755-nucleotide ribosomal RNA is filed under the name human gut metagenome. RNAcentral describes it as "bacterial LSU rRNA". It matches the Rfam family "Bacterial large subunit ribosomal RNA", at positions 211 to 1989 of the family's 2925-position model. The record is from RNAcentral.